This is a non-coding RNA of Camelina sativa (false flax), 1834 nucleotides long. The record is from RefSeq and is a predicted model, not a curated record. Lineage: Eukaryota; Viridiplantae; Streptophyta; Magnoliopsida; Brassicales; Brassicaceae.
UAUAUCUCUCUCGAUAUAUAUAUAUAUGUGACCACCAUUUAGGUGUUUGCAAAGUCCUUAAAUUUUCUCAACAAAAAAAUGAAUUGGAAGUUGGUUUUGCUUACUGGUUGGAUUCUCCUCUCGUCUAUUGCAUUAAACCCAACUUUGGCUAAAGUAACUUAUCCAUCUCUCACGACAAGGAAAGGGAGGAUCGGAGAUAUACACAUCAGCAAAGGAAUGAAGAUUGGCUUUAGAGGCAGUUUUUCUAGAUCUGCUUAUCAUGGAAACGAUCCACCGAGUCAUAAUUUCUAAUUAGUUAUAGCAUGUGGAUUUUAUCGAUCUGUUCUAUACAUCUUAACUUGUGAUUUCUGCAUAUUUGGUAAGUAGUUGUUUGAUUAUGUGUAAUACUCUAUGAAUAAAUGAAAUGGAACUUGGAUAUAUAUAUAUAGUUAAAUGAUUUAAUAGUUAACUACAACUGAUCUGUAAUUGAGUGACAAUGAGAUUUUUUUUUUUUACUUUCGUACCAAAAUUGAUGAUAAACAUCGGACUUUUCAACUCAUGCAUGCAAAAGGAAAAAUUAAGGAGGCUAAAAAAGUCAACAGUAGUGUUCAUUACAUGCAUUGACUUAUACUGUUAUACAUAUCACCAACUGUGGCGAGAGAACGACCCCUGAUGAAAUAAUCUCUGCCUAACUAUAAACUAGUUUAUAAGAUACUAUUUAUUUAUAUAUGCUCCGGAAGAAAACUAGCUAGAGCGUUGUAUUCUAAUUCUUAUAUAUACACAAAAAAAAAGGGGCAAAUAAAAAGAAUGAGUCCCAAGUUCAUUCUAAUAGCUUCGCUGCUACUUUUAUGCAUCGCAUCUUCCAAUUCGAUCAUCAUAACAAUUCCCAAAACCCAGAAAAUGAGUAAGUCUUUUUUUACAAUAUUUGAUUCGUGUGCAAAUCCAACUAUUGCUAUAAAGAGUUAUAUAUAACUAUUGCUAUAAAAUAGUUUUGAUGUGUAACAAGCAAAUGAAGAAGAAGGUAGAAAGAUUCACGUUCACAAAGGAAAGCAGAUCGCUGUAAAGGUCAGCCGUUCACCUCCGGCAAAAGGCUGGAUUUGUUGCAAUUAAUAAUUAAAAGAAUUACUUGUGAACAUUUUCAUAAGCUUGAAAGACUAGUAGUUGUUAGAGCAUCCCCAUUGGUUAUACUUUGGGAUGUUUUUUUUUAUAAUAAUAAAAUUAAAAAUAAAUAAAAUUUUAAUCGUAGUUAUCUCAAAACUUGUGUCUCUGCUCAUAUCAUUUUAGAUACUCGCAGGCACUCAACGUAUUUGGUUGUAUUUUAUUUUUUUUCUCUUUUCUUCAUUUGCUUCUCUCUUUUCCGAUACCAAUGAAACGAGGAAAGCAUGAAUCGAUUUAUUAAAAUCGACGAGAACAAAACAAUCGAAAUUCUGAUCGGUUUCCAAAUAAAAUGGAUCUCUCCUAGUCGUCUUCUUCUUCCUGAAAAUUUUCCUUCUUUGUUUCAAGAAAUCUUGGAUCAGAUAGCAGACCGAGGCUGGUUACUGCCUCCCCUGAAGGAUAUUCGGGUCAUGUUGACGGUAGAUUAAGAGAAGCGAGGUUGAACAAUCCUAAGGGAAACACGGUGGAUGAUAGAGGGAAUAUCUAUGUUGCAGAUACUGUGAAUAAUGCUAUCCGGAAGAUCAGUGAAGCAGGUUGAUUUACAGGCAUAUACGAAAAUUAAGAUACUGUGAACACCCUUGCAAGGUUAACCAAUGUGGAUGCUCUUAUGUCUCGAUCAUUAAUUAAGGAGCUUUCGGCCCAUUUACACGCAUAUACAGAAAUUAAGAUGUAAUUCGUUUAUGCUAUCUUAUUAUAUAAA